UUUGAAUUUUGUAAGUGCUUUAAUAAUUUAUAUGAUUAUGUUGCAUAUUCUUUAGAUCAGUUUUAGUUUAGUAGUACUUGAAUCGUUAAGGAUUCGAGUUGUCACAAUUUUAGUUUGUUUUUAUUUGAUUUUCAAGUGCAUUGAAUGAAUUCGACGAGCAUGGUGUUCUUUUUAUUAUGCAUCUCACAACAUCUCCAUUAACCUUUCAGGGAAAAAUCCUUAUAGAUGGAAUAGGAUUAUGUUGACGUCAAUACAUGUAAAUGAAGUUUCAGAAAGUAAGAAAUUUCAUCCUACUGGGUGGAUAGAUAAGAGGGAUGGGUGGAUUAUUGUGGUUAGACGUCUGAGCUGAUAUUUAAAACUUGAUUUGGAAUUUAUCUAACUUUAACAGAUUCUAUCUCUUGCACUUACCUUUAACAAUUCUCACCAUUAGUUUUUGAUAUUGGAAAUGUUAAUUUGCAUCUCUUAUAGAAAAGAGGAUCAGCAUCCUGUCUUCAACUUCCGCUUGAAUUCAUAGGGAUAGGAAGUGUAGCUAAUUGAGACUAGUGAGAGCCUUUUUUUCCUUUUCAUCUCAGCCUUUGGUUCAUUCCAGUCUUCAUCUUGAUUGAGGUAAUUUAUUUAUUUUUUGAUAAUCGUGAGUGUCCAGGCUAACUUACUCGAAUCUCAACUCAUCCCACAGGACCCUGAAAUUUACAAUUGGGUACUCACCUCAGUGGUCCUAAGGGGACUUGAACUGGUGAUCAUUGGGGGAGCAAAUUCAAGAUCUGACCACUGAACUGCCCGUCAGGUAUAAUUGACUGCGGUAUUUAUUAAAAAUCAUGUUAGUUGUACCUAAAGUUGUAAAUUGUUUGUUCAAG
RNAcentral lists this long non-coding RNA (854 nucleotides) under Olea europaea subsp. europaea. The record is from RNAcentral. Lineage: Eukaryota; Viridiplantae; Streptophyta; Magnoliopsida; Lamiales; Oleaceae.